RNAcentral lists this ribosomal RNA (964 nucleotides) under uncultured eukaryote. RNAcentral describes it as "bacterial SSU rRNA". It matches the Rfam family "Eukaryotic small subunit ribosomal RNA", at positions 567 to 1534 of the family's 1831-position model. The record is from RNAcentral.
CCAGCAGCCGCGGUAAUUCCAGCUCCAAUAGCGUAUAUUAAAGUUGUUGCGGUUAAAAAGCUCGUAGUUGGAUUUCUGCAUGGAAGGAGCGGUCCACCCUUUGGGUGAGUUACUGCUACCUUUUGUGCAUCUUUCUGAGAAGGCGUUCUUCACUUGAUUGUGAGGCCGCAUGACUCAGAACAUUUACUUUGAGGAAAUGAGAGUGUUUCAAGCAGGCAAAUGCCUUGAAUACGUUAGCAUGGAAUAAUAGCAUCGGACCAUCGUCUAGCUGUUGGUGUCUAGGCGAAGGUAAAGGUGAAUAGGGAUUGUUGGGGGCAUUCGUAUUUAACUGUCAGAGGUGAAAUUCUUGGAUUUGUUGAAGACGGACUACUGCGAAAGCAUCUGCCAAAGAUGUUCUCAUUGAUCAAGAACGAAAGUUAGGUGAUCGAAGACGAUCAGAUACCGUCCUAGUCUUAACCAUAAACUAUGCCGACUGGAGAUAGGAAGCGUUUAUAUUACGACUCUUUCUGCAUCUUGAGAGAAAUCAAAGUCUUUGGGUUCCGGGGGGAGUAUGGUCGCAAGGCUGAAACUUAAAGGAAUUGACGGAAGGGCACCACCAGGAGUGGAGCCUGCGGCUUAAUUUGACUCAACACGGGGAAACUUACCAGGUCCGGACAUAGGUAGGAUUGACAGACUGAGAGCUCUUUCUUGAUUCUAUGGGUGGUGGUGCAUGGCCGUUCUUAGUUGGUGGAGUGACUUGUCUGGUUAAUUCCGUUAACGAACGAGACCUUAACCUGCUAAAUAGGUACGGUAACCUCUUGGUUGCCGGUCACCUUCUUAGAGGGACGUCGCGUGUCUAACGCGAGGAAGUGUGAGGCAAUAACAGGUCUGUGAUGCCCAUGGGCGAAUCGCGCGGCUAAAUUCCAAUUCGCCUAUGAGUGAGUCGUAUAACAUCACUUGCCGGUCGAUUACCAACGUCUUGAAC